UACGGAGGGGGCUAGCGUUGUUCGGAAUUACUGGGCGUAAAGCGCGCGUAGGCGGCCUUGCAAGUUGGGGGUGAAAUCCCGGGGCUCAACCUCGGAAUUGCCUUCAAGACUGCUCGGCUCGAGUUCGGGAGAGGUGAGUGGAAUUCCCAGUGUAGAGGUGAAAUUCGUAGAGAUUGGGAAGAACACCAGUGGCGAAGGCGGCUCACUGGCCCGCAACUGACGCUGAGGAGCGAAAGCGUGGGGAGCAAACAGG
Molecule: ribosomal RNA, 253 nt
Filed under: uncultured bacterium
Lineage: Bacteria
Description: partial 16S ribosomal RNA
Rfam family: Bacterial small subunit ribosomal RNA
Source: RNAcentral